This 83-nucleotide transfer RNA is filed under the name Schizothecium vesticola. It matches the Rfam family "tRNA". Rfam says of the family: Transfer RNA (tRNA) molecules are approximately 80 nucleotides in length. Their secondary structure includes four short double-helical elements and three loops (D, anti-codon, and T loops). Further hydrogen bonds mediate the characteristic L-shaped molecular structure. tRNAs have two regions of fundamental functional importance: the anti-codon, which is responsible for specific mRNA codon recognition, and the 3' end, to which the tRNAs corresponding amino acid is attached (by aminoacyl-tRNA synthetases). tRNAs cope with the degeneracy of the genetic code in two manners: having more than one tRNA (with a specific anti-codon) for a particular amino acid; and 'wobble' base-pairing, i.e. permitting non-standard base-pairing at the 3rd anti-codon position. Lineage: Eukaryota; Fungi; Ascomycota; Sordariomycetes; Sordariales; Schizotheciaceae. The record is from Rfam by way of RNAcentral.
UCUUCCGUAGUAUAGUGGUCAGUAUGUGAGCUUGUCAUCUAAUGAUAUCGCUCGAGACCCGGGUUCAAUUCCCGGCGGGAGAG